GCGUUCCCGUAGCUCAGGAGGUAGAGCAUCGCCUGCGUGGCGAAGGUCGCCGGUUCGAGGCCGGCCGGGCGCG
RNAcentral lists this transfer RNA (73 nucleotides) under Solirubrobacter taibaiensis. Its description in RNAcentral is "tRNA-Arg". Lineage: Bacteria; Bacillati; Actinomycetota; Thermoleophilia; Solirubrobacterales; Solirubrobacteraceae. The record is from RNAcentral.